Molecule: ribosomal RNA, 255 nt
Filed under: uncultured bacterium
Lineage: Bacteria
Description: partial 16S ribosomal RNA
Rfam family: Bacterial small subunit ribosomal RNA
Source: RNAcentral
UACAUGGGGUGCAAACGUUGCUCGGAAUUAUUGGGCGUAAAGCGCGCGUAGGCGGCUCGGAAAGUCGGGCGUGAAAUGCCGGGGCUCAACCCCGGGACUGCGUCCGAUACUUCCGAGCUGGAGGUAGGUAGGGGAGAUCGGAAUUCCUGGUGUAGCGGUGAAAUGCGUAGAUAUCUGGAGGAACACCGGUGGCGAAGGCGGCAUCCUGGACCAAUUACUGACGCUGAGUGAGCGAAAGCCAGGGGAGCAAACGGG